UGUUUGUACCAAAAAGGUGCCCUUUGAGUUGUUAUUUUAAUUAUAAACAUAUUUAACACAUAAAAAAUUCGCAGUGUUAAAAAUUACCGUUUUUUUAUGCUUAGUUUUGCAGCAUAUUUUCUGAUUUUAACUAUUUCAUUUGGACGUGUAAAGGGCAGCUUUUACUUUUGUUCGUACUUCCGCUUCUUUCUUGAUUUAUAAGUAUUUGACACAUAAACAGUAACACAUAAAUAGUAACACAUAAACAAUAACGUAUAAACAUUCAUGCAGUACUUUGUACACACCGAUGGAAUCGUACACCGACCUUUUAUCCAUAGUAGUCGAUUUAGGGUUUGAAAACACUAAAAUUGGCUUUUCCGGAGAUGAAUGUCCAACCAACAUCUUUAGCUCGUACGUUGGUAUUCCACUAGAUUUAGACACUCGAAUAAAAAAUGAAUGUUAUAAAAAAUGUUUAUGUACUAAAAAGGAAUUUUAUCAAUUUAAUCUGAUAUAUCCACUUUCUUAUUUAGACGAAUUACCAUCCAAUGUAAAAUUAAAACCGUGUUUAUUUUUGAAUAGUAAAAACCGAUUUAGUGUAAAUGAAGAUGUUUUAGAAAAAAUACUUUUUAUGAAUAUAAAUGGAGAUAGAUGUUUGUUUAAUUUAUUCAAAAAUAGAAUAAAUGAUUUUAUAAGUAAUAAAUUGCAUAAACAAACAGAUAUAAAGGAUAAUGUGUUCUUUGAAAACAACACGGAUGAUAAUAUGCUAGCAAGUAAUAACAAUUAUGAAAAGGGCUAUACGUGUGAACAAGAUAACAGCACUAAUGUAAUUGUAAACGAUGACAAUUUAACAACAACAGAAGAUUCUACAAGAGAUAAUAACACAUCUAUGAAUACUAUGAUAAUAGAAACUACAAAAAUGUGCGCUUCACCAAAGGACACUAUAUCAGAAGUGAUUACACCUGCAUGUAAUAAUUCUAACAAUAAAAAAACAGAACAUAGCACUAAUACAAUUUCUAGUUCAUGCAUAUUAAAACAAUGGGCAAAUGAAAAUAAUUAUUUUGAUUUUAACCUAAUUGAAAAUAAAGCUAUAGAUAUUGAGGGUAUAAAAAAGAUGAUAAAUACAUAUAGUAAUAAUGUUGGAUGCGGGUUGAAUGAAACUUUAAACAAGUUCCCUUAUUUAUUUUCUUUACCUAAUAAAAGGAAUUCACAAAUAAAAACAAAAAUAAGCGAAUUAUUAUUUGAAAAAUAUAAGGUACCAGCUAUAUAUUUUAACCCAAAGUCAAUACUGACAGGUUUUGCGUACAAUAAAUAUAUUUGUACUGUCAUUGAUGUUGGGUCUCGCUAUACAGAUUUUGCUAUAUGUAAUAAU
This 1348-nucleotide long non-coding RNA is filed under the name Piliocolobus tephrosceles (Ugandan red Colobus). RNAcentral describes it as "lncRNA (ENSPTEG00000012121.1)". Lineage: Eukaryota; Metazoa; Chordata; Mammalia; Primates; Cercopithecidae. The record is from RNAcentral.